This 499-nucleotide ribosomal RNA is filed under the name uncultured bacterium. RNAcentral describes it as "partial 16S ribosomal RNA". It matches the Rfam family "Bacterial small subunit ribosomal RNA", at positions 28 to 507 of the family's 1533-position model. The record is from RNAcentral.
GACGAACGCUGGCGGCGUGCCUAAUACAUGCAAGUCGAGCGAAGUUUUUCUGGUGCUUGCACUAGAAAAACUUAGCGGCGAACGGGUGAGUAACACGUAAAGAACCUGCCUCAUAGACGGGGACAACAAUUGGAAACGAUAGCUAAUACCGGAUAACAGUAUUUCUCGCAUGAGAGAUAUUUAAAAGUUGGUUAUGCUAACACUAUGAGAUAGCUUUGCGGUGGAUUAGCUAGUUGGGGGGGGAAAGGCCCACCAAGGCGACGAUGCAUAGCCGCCCUGAGGGGGUGAUCGCCCAACUUGGACCUGGACACCGGCCCGGACCCCUCCGGAGGGCAGCAGUAGGGAAUCUUCCGCAUUGGGCGAAGUCCUGACGGGGCAACGCCGCGUGGGUGUAGCAGGAUUUCGGUUCUUAAAGCUCUGUUGUUAGGGAAGAAGGCCUAUGUAGUAACUAGACAUGUAAGUGACGGUACCUAACCAGAAAGCCACGGCUAACUACGUG